GCGGCCUAUCAGCUUGUUGGUGAGGUAAUGGCUCACCAAGGCGACGACGGGUAGCCGGCCUGAGAGGGCGACCGGCCACACUGGGACUGAGACACGGCCCAGACUCCUACGGGAGGCAGCAGUGGGGAAUAUUGCACAAUGGGCGCAAGCCUGAUGCAGCGACGCCGCGUGAGGGAUGACGGCCUUCGGGUUGUAACCUCUUUCAGCAGGGAAGAAGCGAAAGUGACGGUACCUGCAGAAGAAGCACCGGCUAACUACGUGCCAGCAGCCGCGGUAAUACGUAGGGUGCGAGCGUUGUCCGGAAUUAUUGGGCGUAAAGAGCUUGUAGGCGGUUUGUCGCGUCUGCAGUGAAAAUCCGGGGCUCAACCCCGGACUUGCUGUGGGUACGGGCAGACUAGAGUGUGGUAGGGGAGACCGGAAUUCCUGGUGUAGCGGUGGAAUGCGCAGAUAUCAGGAGGAACACCGAUGGCGAAGGCAGGUCUCUGGGCCACAACUGACGCUGAGAAGCGAAAGCAUGGGGAGCGAACAGGAUUAGAUACCCUGGUGGUCCAUGCCGUAAACGUUGGGCGCUAGGUGUGGGGCUCAUUCCACGAGCUCCGUGCCGCAGCUAACGCAUUAAGCGCCCCGCCUGGGGAGUACGGCCGCAAGGCUAAAACUCAAAGGAAUUGACGGGGGCCCGCACAAGCGGCGGAGCAUGCGGAUUAAUUCGAUGCAACGCGAAGAACCUUACCAAGGCUUGACAUAUACCGGAAACAUCUAGAGAUAGGUGCCCCGCAAGGUCGGUAUACAGGUGGUGCAUGGUUGUCGUCAGCUCGUGUCGUGAGAUGUUGGGUUAAGUCCCGCAACGAGCGCAACCCUCGUUCUAUGUUGCCAGCGCGUAACGGCGGGGACUCAUAGGAGACUGCCGGGGUCAACUCGGAGGAAGGUGGGGAUGACGUCAAAUCAUCAUGCCCCUUAUGUCUUGGGCUUCACGCAUGCUACAAUGGCCGGUACAAAGGGCUGCGAUACCGCGAGGUGGAGCGAAUCCCAAAAAACCGGUCUCAGUUCGGAUUGGGGUCUGCAACUCGACCCCAUGAAGUCGGAGUCGCUAGUAAUCGCAGAUCAGCAACGCUGCGGUGAAUACGUUCCCGG
RNAcentral lists this ribosomal RNA (1131 nucleotides) under uncultured Nostocoides sp. RNAcentral describes it as "bacterial SSU rRNA". It matches the Rfam family "Bacterial small subunit ribosomal RNA", at positions 233 to 1377 of the family's 1533-position model. The record is from RNAcentral. Lineage: Bacteria; Bacillati; Actinomycetota; Actinomycetes; Micrococcales; Intrasporangiaceae.